AGAGUUUGAUCAUGGCUCAGGACGAACGCUGGCGGCGUGCGUAAAACAUGCAAGUCGCACGGUGCUUCGGCACAGUGGCAGACGGCUGAGUAACGCGUAGGAAUCUACCUCCUGGUGGGGAAUAACGGCCCGAAAGGGUCGCUAAUACCGCAUACGACCCCGGGGCAACUCGGGAGGAAAGCCUUUGGCGCCGGGAGAGGAGCCUGCGUCCGAUUAGCUGGUUGGUGGGGUAACGGCCUACCAAGGCGAUGAUCGGUAGCUGGUCUGAGAGGAUGACCAGCCAGACUGGGACUGGGACACGGCCCAGACUCCUACGGGAGGCAGCAGUUAGGAAUUUUGGGCAAUGGCCGCAAGGCUGACCCAGCAACGCCGCGUGGGGGACGAAGGCCUUCGGGUUGUAAACCCCUUUUCCGGGGGACGAUGAUGACGGUACCCCGGGAAUAAGCCCCGGCUAACUACGUGCCAGCAGCCGCGGUAAUAC
Molecule: ribosomal RNA, 481 nt
Filed under: uncultured bacterium
Lineage: Bacteria
Description: bacterial SSU rRNA
Rfam family: Bacterial small subunit ribosomal RNA
Source: RNAcentral